Molecule: transfer RNA, 73 nt
Filed under: Thermoplasmata archaeon HGW-Thermoplasmata-1
Lineage: Archaea; Methanobacteriati; Thermoplasmatota; Thermoplasmata
Description: tRNA-Thr
Rfam family: tRNA
About the family: Transfer RNA (tRNA) molecules are approximately 80 nucleotides in length.
Source: RNAcentral
GCCGCCAUGGCUUAGUUGGUAGAGCGGCUGAUUCGUAAUCAGCAGGUCGGGGGUUCAAAUCCCUCUGGCGGCU